This 505-nucleotide ribosomal RNA is filed under the name uncultured bacterium. RNAcentral's name for it is "partial 16S ribosomal RNA". It matches the Rfam family "Bacterial small subunit ribosomal RNA", at positions 28 to 507 of the family's 1533-position model. The record is from RNAcentral.
GACGAACGCUGGCGGCGUGCCUAAUACAUGCAAGUCGAACGCACAGUUUAUACCGUAGCUUGCUACACCAUAGACUGUGAGUUGCGAACGGGUGAGUAACGCGUAGGUAACCUGCCUGGUAGCGGGGGAUAACUAUUGGAAACGAUAGCUAAUACCGCAUAAUAUUGAUUAUUGCAUGAUAAUUAAUUGAAAGGUGCAAUUGCACCACUACCAGAUGGACCUGCGUUGUAUUAGCUAGUAGGUGAGGUAACGGCUCACCUAGGCGACGAUACAUAGCCGACCUGAGAGGGUGAUCGGCCACACUGGGACUGAGACACGGCCCAGACUCCUACGGGAGGCAGCAGUAGGGAAUCUUCGGCAAUGGACGAAAGUCUGACCGAGCAACGCCGCGUGAGUGAAGAAGGUUUUCGGAUCGUAAAGCUCUGUUGUAAGAGAAGAACGGGUGUGAGAGUGGAAAGUUCACACUGUGACGGUAUCUUACCAGAAAGGGACGGCUAACUACGUG